This 468-nucleotide ribosomal RNA is filed under the name uncultured bacterium. RNAcentral describes it as "partial 16S ribosomal RNA". It matches the Rfam family "Bacterial small subunit ribosomal RNA", at positions 28 to 507 of the family's 1533-position model. The record is from RNAcentral.
GACGAACGCUGGCGGCGUGCUUAACACAUGCAAGUCGAACGGAAAGGCCCUGCUUUUGUGGGGUGCUCGAGUGGCGAACGGGUGAGUAACACGUGAGUAACCUGCCCUUGACUUUGGGAUAACUUCAGGAAACUGGGGCUAAUACCGUAUAGGAGCUCCUGCUGCAUGGUGGGGGUGGGAAAGUUUCGGCGGGUGGGGAUGGACUCGCGGCUUAUCAGCUUGUUGGUGGGGGAGUGGCUUACCAAGGCUUUGACGGGUAGCCGGCCUGAGAGGGUGAACGGCCACAUUGGGACUGAGAGACGGCCCAGACUGCUACGGGAGGCAGCAGUGGGGAAUAUUGCACAAUGGGCGGACGCCUGAUGAAGAAACGCCGCGGGCGGGAUGACGGUCUUCGGGUUGUAAACCGCUUUCGCUUGUGACGAAGCGUGAGUGACGGUAAUGGGUAAAGAAGCACCGGCUAACUACGUG